GGUAGCUUUUAAGUUCGAGUUUUUGUUGUUGAGUUUUAUUACUAAAAUUAUACUUUCACUAAUUUUUAUUUUUUGUUUAAGAUUGCUGAUAUGCUUUAUUCACUUUUACAGGCCCUAGAUGGUCAGAAUAUUUAUAAUGCCUGCUGUACCCUAAGGAUUGAUUUUUCCAAACUUGUGAAUUUGAAUGUAAAAUACAACAAUGAUAAAAGUAGGGAUUAUACUCGACCUGAUCUUCCAUCUGGGGAUGGACAACCUGCAUUGGACCCAGCUAUUGCUGCAGCAUUUGCCAAGGAGACAUCCCUCUUAGCUGUUCCAGGAGCUCUGAGUCCUUUGGCUAUUCCAAAUGCUGCUGCAGCAGCUGCUGCAGCUGCUGCUGGCCGAGUGGGUAUGCCUGGAGUCUCAGCUGGUGGCAAUACAGUCCUGUUGGUUAGCAAUUUAAAUGAAGAGAUGGUUACGCCCCAAAGUCUGUUUACCCUCUUCGGUGUUUAUGGAGAUGUGCAGCGUGUGAAGAUUUUGUACAAUAAGAAAGACAGCGCUCUAAUACAGAUGGCUGAUGGAAACCAAUCACAACUUGCCAUGAAUCAUCUUAAUGGACAGAAAAUGUAUGGAAAAAUUAUUCGUGUUACUCUGUCUAAACAUCAGACUGUACAGCUACCUCGAGAGGGACUUGAUGAUCAAGGGCUAACAAAAGAUUUUGGUAAUUCCCCAUUGCAUCGUUUUAAGAAACCUGGAUCCAAAAAUUUUCAAAACAUUUUUCCUCCUUCUGCCACUCUUCACCUAUCUAAUAUCCC
This 791-nucleotide small RNA is filed under the name Pongo abelii (Sumatran orangutan). Its description in RNAcentral is "processed transcript". Lineage: Eukaryota; Metazoa; Chordata; Mammalia; Primates; Hominidae. The record is from RNAcentral.